AGGGUUUGAUCCUGGCUCAGGAUGAACGCUAGCGGCAGGCUUAAUACAUGCAAGUCGAGGGGCAGCAGGGAUAGCAAUAUUCGCUGGCGACCGGCGCACGGGUGCGUAACACGUAUACAAUCUGCCUUUUACUGGGGGAUAGCCUUUCGAAAGAGAGAUUAAUACCCCAUAAUAGAUUGCUCGGCAUCGAGUGAUUUUGAAAGCUCCGGCGGUAAGAGAUGAGUGUGCGUCUGAUUAGCUAGUAGGUGAGGUAACGGCUCACCUAGGCCACGAUCAGUAGGGGAUCUGAGAGGACUAACCCCCACACGGAUACUGAGACACGGAUCCGACUCCUACGGGAGGCAGCAGUAAGGAAUAUUGGACAAUGCCCGCAAGGGUGAUCCAGCCAUGCCGCGUGCAGGAAGACGGCCCUAUGGGUUGUAAACUGCUUUUAUACAAGAGAAAACCUCCCUACGUGUAGGGAGCUGAUAGUAUUGUAGGAAUAAGCAUCGGCUAACUUCGUGCCAGCAGCCGCGGUAAGAC
RNAcentral lists this ribosomal RNA (522 nucleotides) under uncultured bacterium. RNAcentral describes it as "bacterial SSU rRNA". It matches the Rfam family "Bacterial small subunit ribosomal RNA", at positions 8 to 526 of the family's 1533-position model. The record is from RNAcentral.